AAGCCUGAUGCAGCCAUGCCGCGUGUAUGAAGAAGGCCUUCGGGUUGUAAAGUACUUUCAGCGGGGAGGAAGGCGAUAAGGUUAAUAACCUUGUCGAUUGACGUUACCCGCAGAAGAAGCACCGGCUAACUCCGUGCCAGCAGCCGCGGUAAUACGGAGGGUGCAAGCGUUAAUCGGAAUUACUGGGCGUAAAGCGCACGCAGGCGGUCUGUCAAGUCGGAUGUGAAAUCCCCGGGCUCAACCUGGGAACUGCAUUCGAAACUGGCAGGCUAGAGUCUUGUAGAGGGGGGUAGAAUUCCAGGUGUAGCGGUGAAAUGCGUAGAGAUCUGGAGGAAUACCGGUGGCGAAGGCGGCCCCCUGGACAAAGACUGACGCUCAGG
RNAcentral lists this ribosomal RNA (380 nucleotides) under Enterobacter hormaechei. RNAcentral's name for it is "bacterial SSU rRNA". It matches the Rfam family "Bacterial small subunit ribosomal RNA", at positions 379 to 751 of the family's 1533-position model. The record is from RNAcentral. Lineage: Bacteria; Pseudomonadati; Pseudomonadota; Gammaproteobacteria; Enterobacterales; Enterobacteriaceae.